This 560-nucleotide long non-coding RNA is filed under the name Betta splendens (Siamese fighting fish). RNAcentral describes it as "lncRNA (ENSBSLG00000023296.1)". The record is from RNAcentral. Lineage: Eukaryota; Metazoa; Chordata; Actinopteri; Anabantiformes; Osphronemidae.
CGUUUGGUCCUGCAGCUCAUAAGAUUCAUGGUCAUGAACAAAAGGACACACAAGUUUAGGGUCCACGUCGAUCUACAGGAUGAGGGGAGGUGGAGAUUUGCAGCAGCCAGCAGAAGGUGGAUAGAAGACGGCACUGUCCUCUGGGUAAAAGGAGAAUCAACACUAGAAGCAUGAUAAGUGAAGCAAAGGUGGGGGAAGUUUGUGCAGACAGCAAGGUGGCUAAAGAGCCGCCGCUGUCAGACGUCAGUGACAGUGAUGACGGCAUGUCAGACGGUAGCGACGUAUCCACUGUGAAACAACUGACAGCAGUCAGGAAAAAAGGUAAAUUCUGAGCCAUCAGUCAAGGAAUACCAGAGCUGAUGGAGUGUAGGGGCAGUCUUCUGAUGACAGGUGCAGCUGUGGAGGCUGGAGAAGUUCAUCCAAGGUUUCCUUGACAACAGAGACCAGAUGAUGACCAUAGGACCCAUAGAGACGUCAUUAUUUGUGUUUCGGAGGCUCAGUGCAGUAACUCGUCGCCUGAGCAGUAAUUUACAUAGUGACAUAAAGUGGUGAUAAUCAUA